AGUGAACGCUGGCGGUAGGCCUAACACAUGCAAGUCGAACGGCAGCACAGUAAGAGCUUGCUCUUACGGGUGGCGAGUGGCGGACGGGUGAGGAAUACAUCGGAAUCUACUUUUUCGUGGGGGAUAACGUAGGGAAACUUACGCUAAUACCGCAUACGACCUACGGGUGAAAGCAGGGGAUCUUCGGACCUUGCGCGAUCGAAUGAGCCGAUGUCGGAUUAGCUAGUUGGCGGGGUAAAGGCCCACCAAGGCGACGAUCCGUAGCUGGUCUGAGAGGAUGAUCAGCCACACUGGAACUGAGACACGGUCCAGGCUCCUACGGGAGGCAGCAGUGGGGAAUAUUGGACAAUGGGCGCAAGCCUGAUCCAGCCAUACCGCGUGGGUGAAGAAGGCCUUCGGGUUGUAAAGCCCUUUUGUUGGGAAAGAAAAGCAGCAGGUUAAUACCCCGCUGUUCUGACGGUACCCAAAGAAUAAGCACCGGCUAACUUCGUG
RNAcentral lists this ribosomal RNA (492 nucleotides) under uncultured bacterium. RNAcentral's name for it is "partial 16S ribosomal RNA". It matches the Rfam family "Bacterial small subunit ribosomal RNA", at positions 29 to 507 of the family's 1533-position model. The record is from RNAcentral.